UACGGGGGGUGCGAGCGUUGUCCGGAUUCACUGGGCGUAAAGGGCGCGUAGGCGGCUGGCUCAGUCGGGCCUGUAAGUGCGGGGCUCAACCCCGUGAUGGGCUCGGGACGGGUUGGCUGGGGCGCGGUCGAGGGAGACGGAAUGCCAGGUGUAGUGGUGAAAUGCGUAGAGAUCCGGCGGAACACCGGUGGUGAAGGCGGUCUCCUGGGCCGAGGGCCGACGCUGAGGCGCGAGAGCGUGGGGAGCGAACCGG
This 253-nucleotide ribosomal RNA is filed under the name uncultured bacterium. RNAcentral's name for it is "partial 16S ribosomal RNA". It matches the Rfam family "Bacterial small subunit ribosomal RNA", at positions 524 to 776 of the family's 1533-position model. The record is from RNAcentral.